This 463-nucleotide ribosomal RNA is filed under the name uncultured bacterium. RNAcentral's name for it is "bacterial SSU rRNA". It matches the Rfam family "Bacterial small subunit ribosomal RNA", at positions 335 to 792 of the family's 1533-position model. The record is from RNAcentral.
ACUCCUACGGGAGGCAGCAGUGGGGAAUAUUGCACAAUGGGCGCAAGCCUGAUGCAGCCAUGCCGCGUGUGUGAAGAAGGCCUUCGGUUGUAAAGCACUUUCAGUCGUGAGGAAGGUAGUGUAGUUAAUAGCUGCAUUACUUGACGUUAGCGACAGAAGAAGCACCGGCUAACUCCGUGCCAGCAGCCGCGGUAAUACGGAGGGUGCGAGCGUUAAUCGGAAUUACUGGGCGUAAAGCGCAUGCAGGUGGUUUGUUAAGUCAGAUGUGAAAGCCCGGGGCUCAACCUCGGAAUAGCAUUUGAAACUGGCAGACUAGAGUACUGUAGAGGGGGUAGAAUUUCAGGUGUAGCGGUGAAAUGCGUAGAGAUCUGAAGGAAUACCGGUGGCGAAGGCGGCCCCCUGGACAGAUACUGACACUCAGAUGCGAAAGCGUGGGGAGCAAACAGGAUUAGAUACCCUGGUA